GGAAGUUGAUGGGGUCCGGUGGCUCCCGCGGUCUUCAAAACCGUCGGUCGCGCCUAGCGCGACGGUGGGUUCGAUUCCCGCCUCUUCCG
RNAcentral lists this transfer RNA (89 nucleotides) under Spirochaetota bacterium. RNAcentral describes it as "Spirochaetes bacterium (groundwater metagenome) tRNA-Sec". It matches the Rfam family "Selenocysteine transfer RNA". The record is from RNAcentral. Lineage: Bacteria; Pseudomonadati; Spirochaetota.